GACGAACGCUAGCGGGAGGCCUAACACAUGCAAGCCGAGCGGUAGAGCCUCUUCGGAAACGUAAGAGCGGCGCAAGGGUGCGUAACACGUGUGCAACAUACCUUCAUCUGGGGGAUAGACUUUCGAAAGGAAGAUUAAUAUCCCAUAAUAUAAUGAUUGGCAUCAAUUAUUAUUGAGAACUCCGGUGGAUAGGGAUGGGCACGCGCAGGAUGAGAUAGUUGGUGAGGGAAAGGCUCACCAAGUCAAUGAUCUUUAGGGGUCCUGAGAGGGAGAUCCCCCACGCUUGUACUGCGACACGGACCAUACGCCUACGGGAGGCAGCAGUGGGGAAGAUGGGACGGUGAGUGGGGGACUGUUCCAGCCAGCCCGCGUGAAGGAUGACGGGCCUAGGGAGUGUAAACUUCUGUUGUACAGGGAUAAAGCUACCCUCGUGAGUGUAGCUGAAGGUACUGUACGAAUAAGCACCGGCUAACUCCGUG
This 479-nucleotide ribosomal RNA is filed under the name uncultured bacterium. RNAcentral's name for it is "partial 16S ribosomal RNA". It matches the Rfam family "Bacterial small subunit ribosomal RNA", at positions 28 to 507 of the family's 1533-position model. The record is from RNAcentral.